CACGUACUGUGCAAACGUUAUUCGGAAUCACUGGGCUUAAAGGGUGCGUAGGCGGCUGAUUAAGUAGGGUGUGAAAUCCCUCGGCUCAACCGAGGAAUGGCGCUCUAAACUGGUCAGCUUGAGUGAGAUAGGGGUGUGUGGAACUUCCGGUGGAGCGGUGAAAUGUGUUGAUAUCGGAAGGAACGCCGGUAGCGAAAGCGGCACACUGGGUCUCAACUGACGCUGAGGCACGAAAGCCAGGGUAGCGAACGGG
RNAcentral lists this ribosomal RNA (253 nucleotides) under uncultured bacterium. Its description in RNAcentral is "partial 16S ribosomal RNA". It matches the Rfam family "Bacterial small subunit ribosomal RNA", at positions 524 to 776 of the family's 1533-position model. The record is from RNAcentral.